RNAcentral lists this ribosomal RNA (932 nucleotides) under Pyropia yezoensis (susabi-nori). RNAcentral's name for it is "eukaryotic LSU rRNA". It matches the Rfam family "Eukaryotic large subunit ribosomal RNA", at positions 51 to 952 of the family's 3401-position model. Lineage: Eukaryota; Rhodophyta; Bangiophyceae; Bangiales; Bangiaceae. The record is from RNAcentral.
CGGAGGAUAAGAAACUAACAAGGAUUCCCUCAGUAGCGGCGAGCGAAGCGGGAAGAGCUCAACAUGAAAACCGUUGGGGGUUCGCGCUUUCCUUCGGGUUGUAUAGUAAAGUGGUGUCGCCUGCGUCGCGCCGGGUAUAAAUCCCGUCUGAAAUGGGGUGUCGUAGAGGGUUAUAUCCCCGUCUGUGACCCGGUGUGCGAUGCGUUACGGUGACCUUACGAUGAGUCGGGUUGCUUGGGCAUGCAGCCCUAAGUGGGUGGUAAACUUCAUCUAAAGCUAAAUACUAGCGAGAGACCGAUAGCGUACAAGUACCGUAAGGGAAAGAUGCAAAGAACUUUGAAAAGAGAGUUAAACAGGGCUUGAAACCGUUAAGAGUGAAGCGAAGGAGGUCAGUGAUCAUGGGGCCAGAUCCCCAAGUGCCUGUCAUAGGGCACCGUAGCGUUCUGGUUUCCCGGGGCAGCGCCGGCCGGGGGCGGGGGUUAACAGGGAGGUGGUUGAGGGAUUCGUUUUCCGCCUGUACUCCUUUAUAGCUUGCACCCCGGCCGAGGGAUCCGCGACUUGUCGUGUGAGGGCGCUGUCAAAAUGGCCUUCUCCACCCCGUCUUGAAACACGGACCAAGGAGUCUAACAUACUCGCGAGUGUUUGGGUGGUUAAAACCCGAACGCACAAUGAAAGUAAACGGUGGCUCUGCGCCGCUGCUUGGUGGGAACCCUGCUUUUAUAAUGGGGGGCACUAUCACCCGACCCCGAUCCCUUUGGGGUGGUUGGUUUUGAGGUAGAGCGAGUAUGAUGGGACCCGAAAGAUGGUGAACUAUUCCUGAGUAGGGCGAAGCCAGAGGAAACUCUGGUGGAGGCUCGUAGCGAUGCUGACGUGCAAAUCGCUCGUCGAACUUGGGUAUAGGGGCGAAAGACUAAUCGAACCAUCUAGUAGCU